GCCGACUUAGCUCAGUUGGUAGAGCAUCUGAUUAUGUAAUCAGAGGGUCGGGCGUUCGAAUCGUCUAGUCGGCA
Molecule: transfer RNA, 74 nt
Filed under: Latilactobacillus curvatus
Lineage: Bacteria; Bacillati; Bacillota; Bacilli; Lactobacillales; Lactobacillaceae
Description: tRNA-His
Rfam family: tRNA
About the family: Transfer RNA (tRNA) molecules are approximately 80 nucleotides in length. Their secondary structure includes four short double-helical elements and three loops (D, anti-codon, and T loops).
Source: RNAcentral